UCCAGCAUUCCAGCCUGGCAGCAGGAGCAAUAAGCCCUGGUUUCAGAGGACGCUCCCACUACAAGGUGGCAUGAGCGUGCUGCAGGCUGCAAGGUGUCAGGGGCUAUCCUCCCCCUGGCUGGGCACCUUGCUGAGCUGAAAUGGAAUUAAAAGCCACUUCAAUCACACAAAGCAAGGACUUCCAGCUGGAGCUGGAGGGGUUAGUGUGGGUAAUGAAGGUGCUGCACAGCCCUGGAUACCCGGUCCCACUGCCACCCCUGACCAUCCCCUCCUGGCAGCAAACAGUGAGCAGCCCUCAAAGCUGCCCAAGGCCCUCUGGUAAAUGCUGGCACAUCAUGAAAUCCCUUGCAGAGAAUCAGAAGUACUUUGCAAAUGAUUUUCCACUCAGUCCAGAGGCUGAAGCUGUUGCAAAUCAUGGCUGGUUCGAUCGUGUCUUUUUUGAGCUGGAAGGCCACGGGUUAAUAAAAGUUUGAUUAGAUAUAUAUAUUUCUAUAUAACCCCUGCUGCUUUCAGACACAUCUGUGCCCCCAACUGCUUUGCAGACUGCAGUGCAAUCACCAAAGUGUAGUAAAGGCACUUGUCUGGCUGCAGAAGAGAGAAAGAUUUGUUGUUUGCUUAGCUGUGACUGAAGAGAAUAUUCACUGUGUGCAGACAGGUUUGAUUGUCAUGUACGGCUGCAUUUAGUGUGCUCAGUCAGGGAUUCACACUUUAGACUGGUACAGCAUCCUACCCAUACAUCAUAUUAAAUAUUAACUGGAGGGGAGCAGAGAUAUUUUAUGCCUAUUUUGUUUCAUAGAGUUUUUAUCUUUCUUUUCUUUCUUUCUUUCUUUCUCUUUCUCUCUCUCUUUCUUUUUUAUUUUUCUUUCUUUCUCACUUUCUUUCUUUUCUUUCUUUCCUCUCUUUCCUCUCUUUUCCCCUCUUUUCCUCUCUCUUCCUUUCUCCCUUUCUCUCUUUCUUUCCUUUGUAUUACAGGAGAAAUGUCAGUCUCCAGGUUGUUUCCUCCUUAUAUUGCUAUUUGCUGCCUUCACCAGAGGGCAGCGUAAAACCUGGGGUCUUGCUGCACGUUAGAACAACUGAAGUGAAACCCAUGACACUGUCAAGUGCUUAAAAUUAAAAUGCUGGUUUGUGCUUACAGAAACAAUGUGCACCAGAGCUUAGCAGAGGGCUGUAGAGUUCAGGGAGGGAUGGUGAAAUCGCCUGUUAAUGGAUGACUGCCUUGGAAAACAUCAGUUGCCUUGUGCUUCUGCCUCAGCCAGGAAAGCUCCACAUGAGCCUUUCAUAAAUUAAAAUAUUUCUGCCUUAAAGAAGCCCCUUCUGCAAGCAUAGUGCUGAACAAGGUGCCCCACCACAUGUGCCACCUCGAAAUUAUCUUCUGAAACACCUGGAGCCACGUGUAAACGAAAUCACCUCAACUGAUGAACUGUUCUCUCUCUGCUUUGCUGCCCCUGUGCAUCCUCCUCAUCCCUCACUUGUGCCAGGAACUGCCAGGAAGAAUAGAUUUGAAUUCCACUGUGCAAAUGCCUGACCUGGUUCCAUGGAUGCCCGAAGUCUCAUCCCCCCCAGGAAGUAACCCCAGCCCUACUGUGCCAUCUCCCUGAGGUAUGUCUAAUCACAUGGAGGCACCUCUGCCAGGGGCUUCCCAAAGUUAGGCAUGCACUGGCACACAUGCACACCCCUCCAGCACCCAUUUGAACACAAAGGUAUUCCCCUAUUCUAUCUUUCCUAUAUUUGUAUUCACACUACAUGGGAGGAUGGAGACUGCAGUAAACAAAUAUCCUGGGGCUGAGGGAAAAGCCCAGCCUGGGGAAAAUGUGAGGUGGCUUUGCUUCGAGCCUGCUGUCUCCCCUGUGCUUCUGCAAAUUGUGAUUUGAUAUAACCCUUUCCUCAGCCCCUUCAUAAGGGCUGUAACUGCAUCAAUAUUUCUGAUAGCAUCAUGCACGUGUUCAUCCUAAGUAGGUUAUCCUUCACGCUGCGCAACUUCCAACCUGCUUGCUGCAAUUUAUCAGUGGGGAAGGAUAUUUUGGGAAUGAUCCCGUGUCUCUUCUCCAUGUCACAGGAUAAUGUGCUGCACAUAAUGAAUCCCACCCGCAGGAUUUGUCAGUUUCUUAUGCAGUAACGACACAAAAAAAAAUACAUCCAGGUCUCCAUUCCUCUGGAUGUUACAGCUUGUUAAGUGACUGUCCAGUUCACAGCAUUCAGCACUUCCCUGAGUGUUUGUUACACCCAUCCAUUAAAGUGCUCACCAGAGCCAUGUGGAAUUGCAAAUGGGAGCUGCAGGACAUCAGGACAGACGUACAGACACCUCUCCUCUGCACUAUGUUUGAGACCGUCUGUCUGCACACUCUUGUGCCAUCGUUUGAGAUCUGCUGGAGGCACAGCUUGCUCAUGGUGGCACUUUGUGCAAACAUAACAGAUUUUAUGAAGCUGAGCUAUUUGGUGUCACACGCUCGUCCUGACAGCGCCAAGAAAGCCGCAUAUAGUGCUCAGGGAUGUGGGUGAUGGUGCUAUUCCAGCUCAGGAUCAAAGUUCUCACAGCUCCAGGUUGAUCCAGAAGGGACAACAGGGAGAGGGAAGGAAAAAGGGAAAGAAGUAAGAGCAGGAGCACUAACUUCAAUAACCUUCCUUUUGUAGGUGAGACUAUUAGGUGCCCAGACUUAGAAAAUGCCAAAUUUAGGUGGCAUCAUUAACUUAGGUUAAGGCUCCUUCCCCAGAAAGAAGGAGCAAAGUUUCUGAAGGCCAGAAGCCUCACUCUACCCAGAGGCUAAAGGUCCCGUUAUCAUCCCAUACACAUUAUCCCUUAAAAUGUUACAGGAGAGGGCAGAACAGUCCAGGGCAAGUGCAAACUCUUGGCUCUAGGAUAUGGCAUGGGAUAAAUGAGGGAAGUGAGGGGCUUUCCACUGAGCCUCCCCUGGUCCACAGGGCCUUUUGAAAUGACUCACUUCUGUGCUGUUCUUUUCCUAAAUAGAGCAGUGCAAAGGUGAGGAAGAGGUGAGGAGGAACAAGGCGGCUCUUGAACAGCCCUGACCCAACAGAGAAGUCUAUUCUGGUAUUUAGGUUCCUGAGAGGUGAAGCACUUGCGUGCAUGAAGCACAUACCUCACUGUGCAGCUGCAGCCAGGUCAUAGGAGUAACUCCCAGGUGAAAAGAAGCUGCAGGAAAGGGAAGGAAAGGCAAGAUCCCAACCAGCAAUGCUAUCACCUGGCACUGGCAGCUCAGAAGCUGUAGGGCAAUGUGUCUUUGUUAAUGUAAACCCUGACUCAACAGGCAUUCCAAUGCACUGUUCCUUCUGUGGGAUGCUGGCAGGCUGUGCCACACCCAGCUGGCUCUUUGUGGAACGUUGAGUGAUUUGUGACUGAAGGCAAAAGGAAAAGGUCAUAAUUUGUAUAAAUCAGAUGGAAGUCAGGAAAGUUAUCCUGCAGGUGCUGGGCAAGGAUCAAAAUGCUGGGAUCACUUAGAGCCUAGCUGGAGAAAAACUCUGUGCAGGGGAGCUGAGCAAAUGUCUCCUUUUCCAUUGGGGCUGGGGGGAAUGGGUGGGAAGGCCAUCCGAGCGCAAUAGCCAACAGUCUGGAAAAUAUAAUACCAAGUAAUGCAUGCCAUAAUGAAACAGCUACCUUAGCAAUAGCUGAUGUGAAUUCCUUCAUGGCCAUGAUUUCUAUUCUCAUACAAAAGCAAAAAAAAUCCCUUUCCUGGCAGGCAAAAUCAAAGGUGUCUCUUGCAGCCCUCUGCUCAAGGAGUUUUCUUCUAAACCACAGAACCAUCACCAUUACUUUGUUCACAGGUAAUUACUCCCUGCAGCUAAUUUGGAGCCAUAUUUGAAAGUGAAAUGGAGAUAUCCUGUGUUACCCUUUUCCCCUCAGUCUGCCUUGGCAUUAUCAUCGUUCUCUGCUCUGGUGCCCGUAGCAACAGUCACGGCCGUCCCCACGUGCCCCGAGCAAGCAAGACCUGCUGAUGCCUGACAUUUAUCCAGCUGGGCUCUUCACCAUGGGCUUUGCCUGCUGGAGAUCACACCUCCUAAACCCCUCAGUGCUGAGGGAUGGGUGCACUUGUUGAAAAUAUGGACAUACCAAUGAGGAUGCUCUUAUUCCCGGAGAUGAUUUUGUGGAGAAAAAACAACCUCUUCCAUUCAGCAGGAAAGACAAUGAAAGAUUGCUUUGUUGUUCUUUCUUUCCUGUAUGUUGCAUGUGUACCAAGAGGGGUGUGAGAGAGAGGAAAGUCUUAGAAGUAGUGGGUUGCUUAUGUCAGCAAACAGGAAGAACUUGCUUGGACACAGCUAGCAAAAGGCAUGUGCCAGCUACUGAAUAAAUGGCAUAUCCAUUGUAAUGCACAGAUAAUAACAGAAAGUCUUUACACCUGCUAAACAAUUGCCAAGUGACUAAUACAAGCCUUGGGUUGGCAAGCAGUAGGGGUUUAGGAAAUAGGCUGAAAGAGCAGUAUUUGUGAAGCCCCAUGAUUCACUUGUACAGCUACAAGAUUUCCUUACCUCUCAUCCUCCCUUAACCACAGGUGCUUUAAAAACAAGUUUUGGGCUUUAUGAGUUACUACCUAUGUGCUGCAGUCAUCUUCCCCAGCUGGUAAGCAGCAUUAUCAGCUUAUGGGGUUCAUGUAUGGAAGUGUUACACUUUAGUUGGUCUCAGCAGGUCCAUUUUUCUUGCACAGAUUUAUGGUACUUUCUAGCAAGUUGAUAUGCUUGCUCUGAGCUGAAACAAAUUCCCAGUGAAAUCCUCUCAAGAAGAGGGAGAUUUAUUGGUUUUCGGCCUGACUGCACACAUGUGCCCACAGGGAGCCAAAAUGGGUCAUAGCCAGUGAAAUGCCGCCAGUGCCUGAGUGUGAGGCUGGGCACCAGGAUGCUCCUGCUGCUCCUGCACCUUUGCAAGGAGGGGUAGAUCAGGUCCAUGCAGGAUGUCAAUACUUCAUCCCCACCUUGCAUAGUUGUUCUUCACUGCAGGGCACCUGAUGUAAAACUGACAUCAGCUGUAACAUAACAGUAGCUUUGAAGCUGCCACUGGGAAAGAAGUGCAAGCAGCUAUUGCUGGUUGCAUGUGGGUGGGCUUGGAAGCACAAGCACUUCAUCCAGCAGUCCAUGGCACUUUGCCUGCUGCGCAUAUCCAGCCAAAUGAGGCCGGGGAUGCUCUCAGCAGGCACCACCACGGAGUGAAUUACACCUUUUCUCCAUCUUCUCCACUGCUUUCCCUCUUUUCCCCCAUCCUAACUGAAAAGACAAGUUUGCUCUUUUUCCCAUGUCAGCUGCUCCCCUCCUUGAUUUCUCCUGCCCCAUCACUGCAGCAGAGCAGGCACUGCUGCCCACACAGCCCCACAGGGGGGUGCCGGGCUCCUGAACUCUAGCAGGAAGCUGAGGGCUGGGCUGGGCAGCAGUGGUUGGGCUGAGAGGUGGCAAUCAGGGGCUGUGCAUCAGAAGAUGCCCUGCAUGUGCUGCCCUGAGCUGUGAAGGUCUUUUACCGUGAUGGGCAGUGGGGAGCAGAGGAGAUGUUUGGCCUCAGUGGGAAGGGAACAUCCCACCCCCAGUAUUGCUGACCUGGCUAUCAGGACCUCAGGAUUUCCAUCAUCUAGCUAUCUAUCUAGUGAAAAGGUAGAGAAAAGACUACGGAGUCUAUGAGUAAAUGGCAGCAUGUUAAGAAGGCAGCCAAAAUAAAAGAGAACUAGUCUUCCCUUCUGCCCAGAGAGCCAAGGAAACACACUGACCAGUAAACAGCCUUGUCCUUACAAUAAGGAGGAUAUUUCACCUGAACUUAUAUAAAGAAAACAUUCCUAGGAGCCAUUCAAAACACCACUUUAUUGAUGGAUGUUAGGAGUUGUAAAUAAUGGGGGUGUGGGCGUGGGAGAAAUGAGAGAAGCUAUCCUCCCUCUUGCUUAAUUGAAUUCAACAGGAGUCAUCACUGGGGGCUGCUGUGCUUUGUGGAUUGUGUAAUCUUCAGGGAAGACUUGAAUACAGCAAGACACACUGAUUCACUUAUGUAGGAGUGAAUCCAGAGUAACCUGAGUCUGGGAGAGUAGAUGUGGGAUGCAUAUUUAUUUCCUCAAGUGAAUGAAAUGAGGAAAUUCUCACCUUCUCCCUCAACAUACUAUCAAAAUCAUAGGUAAACAUAUGCUGGGUUUGCCUUUGUAUUUAUAAUAUUUUUCAUCAUAUUAUUUCUACCACCAAAAAGUAGAUCAAAGAAAGCAAUGUGACACAGCUGAGUGGAGUCUGGGUAUCAAAACCUACAUGUUUCUUAGAUAUGAGAAAGGAGAUGUGUGACCAUCCUCUCUGCUGGGAACAUACACUUCCCGAAGCCCCAGAGGAGAGGGGUUUCCUAGAAUUAUGCCUGGUGGCAAGGACACUAACAAAUGCUGGACUGAACACUGAAGAUCAUUCUGGUCUGAAGCUCCUGCCUGUGAUGAGGCAGAAAGUGUGGGGCUGGCAAACCCCUAAAAGCUUGGGGAGCAUAAAACCAAGACUUCAACACGGGAGAAAAACCUCACAGCUGAGGCACUGAGAUGCUGCUGGCAAGGGAAUGCACUGGGUGAGUGCUGAACCACAACAAAAACUGCUGCACUUUUUAUAACAUAAUUGCGUGCUUUAUUGAUAUACACAGUAAAGCAGUAUAUAAUACAAUAGUAAGGCAUAUAUUUGGUGAAAUUUGGUAUGUUGUGAAAAAAUGCAGUAAAACAGAAGUUUAUAAAAAUAAUUAGUAAAUGUUACAGUGUUGGGUGUUAAAACACAAUAUAUUAUGAUAUCCAAGUAAUAAACCAGUACUGAGUAACGAUGUAAUAACAUGCCAUAUGGUAUUUAUGUUUUCAACUACACUGAUUAUGUUUUACAGUUUAAUAUUUUGUCAUUAUAAGGAAUAUGAAAUAAUUCCCAAAUUAUGCUUAAAAAAGCAGCAAUAAAGCUUUCAACUUUUUAAAUACUUUUUGACAGACUCACUCCAAAACUAAAGUAAAACAAACAAAACAAAACCCUGAUGAAAACAAUCGUGCAAUCUGUUUUUCCUCCAUUUUUUUUCUGAAGAGAAGGUUUAACAUAUAAGGGGGGAAAAAAAGAAGAAACCCAUUUCUCAAAUCGCAAUUUAAACCUUCUGCUAAAAAAGGCCAUGAGAAAUAGUGAGGGUUCCUAUUUUAAUAAAGUGUUAAAAAAAGCUCUUUAUUAGGAAAGCAGAGGUUUGGGAGGAUUGUACUUAUUUUUAAAGAUUAUUAACGUUGUUAUUAUUUAAACGAUGAUACCUGGUCACACAAUGGACACGUGGUGAGGAUGUAACAUUGUCGUACAUAAUUGUCAGGAACACCACAAAACCAAAGUGAGGUAGAAAUAGCAUGACUAGCUAUGUUCAAUGUUAACUAGCAUUCAAAAUAAAAUCUUUCCCAAGUUUAAUUACAAUUCAUACAAGAAGAGGUAACAGAUUUUUUAUACUCUUGCAAUAUAAAGUCAGAUGGUGUGUUUCUAUGUAUUCUAAGGUAAAAUUAAAAGCUGGUUAAGAAAAUGAAGUGGUAAAGCUUUUGCUGACAGCACCUCAUACCCAAACCAAUCUCUCCCAAGCUGCAGUCAAACUGGUUAAUCUGUUUUGCUACCGGUUCCUCUCUUCCUCACGUUAUUGUUAAUUGUGCAGGAUUACUUGUAGAGAGAAAAACAGGGAAGGAGAAAGGACCAGGGCCUUUGUUUUGGUGAUAAACACCUCAUGGAGCAGUGUGACUACCUUCACCUGAUCACCACACGCGCGCGAGAACAGCAGUAACUCUUGUGCAGCCUUUCCCAAAGGUUGCUCACAGCGUUACAGCUCCUUGGGACUGGCUGCUGUAGCAGGCUGAGACACGGGACUGCAGAAAGCUCUGGUUGUACUGUCCAGAGGAUCGAGGAGCUUCAUGCUCAUUAACAGCACUGGGAGCUGGACAAUGCUCUGUGAUGCUUUGAGGGGGUCAGGAGGGAACUUCUCCCCUGCUGAAGCACAGCCAGCAGGUACCGGACACCGAGCUCCGAAAGUUUAAACCAGUAAGGCAAUUUCUACGUUCCUUUACUAACAGCAUUCAGGAAUUUAGUCAGCAGAGGAAACACUGGCACAUAGGAUGCUCAUUAAAUUCUUUCCUUUCUUUCUUUCUUCUGGGUUUUUUCUUUUUCUUUUUUUUUUUUUUUUUUAAAUUAUUUUUUUUUGCAGGUUCUGUCAUGUAAUGUGCUCUUUCAUUUAAUUAUUGCAAACUAGCUGUGUAAUUGCUAGUUGCUGUCCGAAAGCAGGACAGUAAUUCAUGUAAUUCUUAAUUUUAUUGGAAAGAUAUGACAUAACUACCUUCAUUGGAAGUUCAGUUUUGUGUUUUUUGUGUUUUUUUUUUUUUUAAGCCAGCCCUAGUCAGACAAAACCAAUGAGAAAUGUAAGUUGGCCAUUUUGGUGUCACUUCAGGAAAUACUUUUUUUUUACUUUUCAUUACGCAAGGAAAAGAACACAGGACAUGAAUCUCUCUGAUGCAGUUACAGAGCUGAAAUGAAACUAAACAAAUGCACUGCCUCAGUAUAUUUUUUUUGUGUUUUUUUUAAGGGGGUUUCUAUAAACAAUUAUUUUUAUAAAGCACACUUUAGUUUACAAUCUUUCAUUAUAACUGUUAUAAAUUUUUUUUAAACAACCCGAAAUGCGUUCCAUAUAAAGAAAUGGCAAGUUAUUUAGCUAUCAAGAUUUUACAUGUAGUUUUCUUAUAAUUUUUGUACAAUUGCAUAGACGUGUAAAACCUGCCAUUGUUAACAAAACAGUAACAGACUUAGGAAACUACUGAAAUCUACAGUAUAGUACCACUA
This is a long non-coding RNA of Pseudopipra pipra, 8772 nucleotides long. RefSeq lists it as uncharacterized. The record is from RefSeq and is a predicted model, not a curated record. NCBI's taxonomy places the organism in Eukaryota, Metazoa, Chordata, Aves, Passeriformes, Pipridae. The transcript has 2 exons.